RNAcentral lists this transfer RNA (65 nucleotides) under Dipodomys ordii (Ord's kangaroo rat). It matches the Rfam family "tRNA". Rfam says of the family: Transfer RNA (tRNA) molecules are approximately 80 nucleotides in length. Their secondary structure includes four short double-helical elements and three loops (D, anti-codon, and T loops). The record is from Rfam by way of RNAcentral. Lineage: Eukaryota; Metazoa; Chordata; Mammalia; Rodentia; Heteromyidae.
GGUGGCUCAGUGGUAGAGUGCUUGCCUUGCAUGCAUGAGGCCCUGGGCUCAAUAACUCAGCACCA